This 465-nucleotide ribosomal RNA is filed under the name uncultured bacterium. Its description in RNAcentral is "partial 16S ribosomal RNA". It matches the Rfam family "Bacterial small subunit ribosomal RNA", at positions 339 to 795 of the family's 1533-position model. The record is from RNAcentral.
CUACGGGAGGCACCAGUGGGGAAUAUUGGACAAUGGGGGAAACCCUGAUCCAGCAAUGCCGCGUGUGUGAAGAAGGCCUGCGGGUUGUAAAGCACUUUCGGUUGGGAGGACUGCUUCUAGCACUAAUAUUGUUGGAAGUUGACGUUACCUUCAGAAGAAGCACCGGCUAACUCCGUGCCAGCAGCCGCGGUAAUACGGAGGGUGCAAGCGUGAAUCGGAAUUACUGGGCGUAAAGCGCGCGUAGGCGGCUAGAUCAGGCGGGUGUGAAAGCCCCGGGCUUAACCUGGGAACUGCAUCCGAUACUGUCUAGCUUGAGUACAGGAGAGGAGAGUGGAAUUCCACAUGUAGCGGUGAUAUGCGUAGAUAUGUGGAGGAACACCAAUGGCGAAGGCAGCUCUCUGGCCUGAUACUGACGCUGAGGUGCGAAAGCGUGGGGAGCAAACAGGAUUAGAUACCCGUGUAGUC